This 781-nucleotide ribosomal RNA is filed under the name Sphingobacterium mizutaii. RNAcentral's name for it is "bacterial SSU rRNA". It matches the Rfam family "Bacterial small subunit ribosomal RNA", at positions 89 to 871 of the family's 1533-position model. The record is from RNAcentral. Lineage: Bacteria; Pseudomonadati; Bacteroidota; Sphingobacteriia; Sphingobacteriales; Sphingobacteriaceae.
GUGAGAGUGGCGCACGGGUGCGUAACGCGUGAGCAACCUGCCCAUAUCAGGGGGAUAGCCCGGAGAAAUCCGGAUUAACACCGCAUGACACUGCUUUCCGGCAUCGGGAGGCAGUCAAAUAUUCAUAGGAUAUGGAUGGGCUCGCGUGACAUUAGCUAGUUGGUGGGGUAACGGCCCACCAAGGCGACGAUGUCUAGGGGCUCUGAGAGGAGAAUCCCCCACACUGGUACUGAGACACGGACCAGACUCCUACGGGAGGCAGCAGUAAGGAAUAUUGGUCAAUGGGGGCAACCCUGAACCAGCCAUGCCGCGUGCAGGACGACUGCCCUAUGGGUUGUAAACUGCUUUUGUUAGGGAAUAAACCCCGCUACGUGUAGCGGGCUGAAUGUACCUAAAGAAUAAGGAUCGGCUAACUCCGUGCCAGCAGCCGCGGUAAUACGGAGGAUCCGAGCGUUAUCCGGAUUUAUUGGGUUUAAAGGGUGCGUAGGCGGCACUUUAAGUCAGGGGUGAAAGACGGCAGCUCAACUGUCGCAGUGCCCUUGAUACUGAAGUGCUUGAAUGCGGUUGAAGACGGCGGAAUGAGACAAGUAGCGGUGAAAUGCAUAGAUAUGUCUCAGAACACCGAUUGCGAAGGCAGCUGUCUAAGCCGUUAUUGACGCUGAUGCACGAAAGCGUGGGGAUCGAACAGGAUUAGAUACCCUGGUAGUCCACGCCCUAAACGAUGAUGACUCGAUGUUUGCGAUAUACCGUAAGCGUCCAAGCGAAAGCGUUAAGUCAUCCA